AUGCCAUGAUGAGGACACUUUUGUAAUAACCCCUUGAACCGCUUCACUGUCUCAUACAAAGAUUUUUCAUCAAGUUGCUGAAAUGAAGUGAUUUCAUUUUGAAGCUU
Gossypium arboreum is the source of this 107-nucleotide small nucleolar RNA. It matches the Rfam family "Plant small nucleolar RNA R71". Rfam says of the family: R71 is a member of the C/D box family of snoRNAs containing the C (UGAUGA) and D (CUGA) box motifs. The record is from Rfam. NCBI's taxonomy places the organism in Eukaryota, Viridiplantae, Streptophyta, Magnoliopsida, Malvales, Malvaceae.